GUAGGUGGCAAGCGUUGUCCGGAUUUAUUGGGCGUAAAGGGCGCGCAGGCGGCCCGUCAAGUCUGGGGUGAAAGCUCCCGGCUCAACCGGGAGAGGUCUUCAGAUACUGACGGGCUUGAGGAGAGCAGAGGAGAGCGGAAUUCCCGGUGUAGCGGUGAUAUGCGUAGAUAUCGGGAGGAACACCAGUGGCGAAGGCGGCUCUCUAGGCUCUUCCUGACGCUGAGGCGCGAAAGCGUGGGGAGCAAACCGGGAUUAGAUACCCGGGUAGUCCACGCUGUAAACGUUGGGCACUAGGUGUGGGAGGUAUUGACCCCCUUCCGUGCCCGCAGUUAACGCGUUAAGUGCCCCCGCCUGGGGAGUACGGCCGCAAGGCUA
RNAcentral lists this ribosomal RNA (375 nucleotides) under uncultured organism. Its description in RNAcentral is "partial 16S ribosomal RNA". It matches the Rfam family "Bacterial small subunit ribosomal RNA", at positions 527 to 896 of the family's 1533-position model. The record is from RNAcentral.